Molecule: ribosomal RNA, 239 nt
Filed under: uncultured bacterium
Lineage: Bacteria
Description: partial 16S ribosomal RNA
Rfam family: Bacterial small subunit ribosomal RNA
Source: RNAcentral
UUGAUCUACGGGAGGCAGCAGUAGGGAAUCUUCCGCAAUGGGCGAAAGCCUGACGGAGCAACGCCGCGUGAGUGAUGAAGGGCUUCGGAUCGUAAAACUCUGUUGGUAGGGAAGAACAAAUUUGUUAGUAACUGAACAAGUCUUGACGGUACCUAACCAGAAAGCCACGGCUAACUACGUGCCAGCAGCCGCGGUAAUACGUAGGUGGCAAGCGUUAUCCGGAAUUAUUGGGCGUAAAG